GUCGAACGGCAGCACAGAGGAACUUGGUCCUUGGGUGUGGAGAGUGGGACAGGGGAGGAAAAUAUCGGAAACUCCUCUGUGUCGGGGGAUAUCAUAUGGGAAAUUUUACUCUUACCCCGCACAACCUCUAGGGGAGAACGCGGGACAUUUUCGGCUUGUGCGAUUGUGUGAGACCAUAUGUGAUAUUCUCUUUGUGGGGGUAAAGGCGCCCCCCGGGGACAAUACCCAUCUGUGGUGAGAGAAGAAGAUCCCCCACUGUGGCUGAGACACGGUCCCCACACUCCCACGGGGGGCCACUGUGGAAAAUUGUGCAAUGUGGGCGCGCCUGAGACCCCCCUAUCCCGUGUGUGAAAAAAGCGUUCUCGUUGUGAAAACCUUUUUUGGUGAAAAAAAUCUCCCUGUGUAUUACCCCCUUGUGAUAACACUACCCCCAAAAAAUACACCCCGUAUAUUUUCGCGCCCACCCCCGCUAAUACACAAGGGGCGCACGUUUCUCUCAAAUUCUGUGGGUAUAACGUGUGUAUGUGGGCUCUUAUAUCUCCUGUGAGAACCCUGUGGUCUCACUGUGAACACUGCUGUGUACUGUGCGACACUAGAGUGUGAUAGAGUAUCGCAAAUCCUGUUGUGUAACUGUGAUGUGUAUAGAUAUCGAGAAGAAUCUCUGUGGAAAGCGCCUAUACGUGCACCCACUGUGACUCUGACGCGAAAACGUGUGGAGAGCACACGAUAAUAUAUCCUGUGGUUCCCCACCCUCUACAAUGU
Molecule: ribosomal RNA, 762 nt
Filed under: uncultured bacterium
Lineage: Bacteria
Description: partial 16S ribosomal RNA
Rfam family: Bacterial small subunit ribosomal RNA
Source: RNAcentral